UCCCUGGCGGUCCAGUGGUUAAGAUGCUGUGCUCCUAAUGCAGGGGCACAGGUUCAACCCCUGGUCAGGGAA
Molecule: transfer RNA, 72 nt
Filed under: Bos taurus (domestic cattle)
Lineage: Eukaryota; Metazoa; Chordata; Mammalia; Artiodactyla; Bovidae
Also listed under: 2 other names
Rfam family: tRNA
About the family: Transfer RNA (tRNA) molecules are approximately 80 nucleotides in length.
Source: Rfam by way of RNAcentral